Molecule: ribosomal RNA, 253 nt
Filed under: uncultured bacterium
Lineage: Bacteria
Description: partial 16S ribosomal RNA
Rfam family: Bacterial small subunit ribosomal RNA
Source: RNAcentral
UACGUAGGGAGCGAGCGUUGUCCGGAAUUACUGGGUGUAAAGGGUGCGUAGGCGGCCUUGCAAGUCAGGCGUGAAAACCAUGGGCUCAACCCGUGGACUGCGUUUGAAACUGUGAGGCUUGAGUGAAGUAGAGGUAGGCGGAAUUCCCGGUGUAGCGGUGAAAUGCGUAGAGAUCGGGAGGAACACCAGUGGCGAAGGCGGCUUGCUGGACGAAAACUGACGUUGAGGCUCGAAAGCGUGGGGAGCAAACAGG